UGUACUCAAUAUUUGUUGUGUUUGAAGGGA
This 30-nucleotide non-coding RNA is filed under the name Mus musculus (house mouse). Lineage: Eukaryota; Metazoa; Chordata; Mammalia; Rodentia; Muridae. The record is from RNAcentral.